RNAcentral lists this ribosomal RNA (253 nucleotides) under uncultured bacterium. RNAcentral's name for it is "partial 16S ribosomal RNA". It matches the Rfam family "Bacterial small subunit ribosomal RNA", at positions 524 to 776 of the family's 1533-position model. The record is from RNAcentral.
UACGGAGGGUGCAAGCGUUGUCCGGAUUUAUUGGGUUUAAAGGGUGCGUAGGCGGUUAAUUAAGUCAGUGGUGAAAUCCUGGAGCUCAACUUCAGAACUGCCAUUGAUACUGGUUGACUUGAGUACAGACGAGGUUGGCGGAAUUGAUGGUGUAGCGGUGAAAUGCAUAGAUACCAUCAAGAACACCGAUUGCGGAGGCAGCUAACUAGGCUGUAACUGACGCUGAGGCACGAAAGUGUGGGGAUCAAACAGG